This 537-nucleotide transfer RNA is filed under the name uncultured Prochlorococcus sp. Its description in RNAcentral is "partial 16S-23S ribosomal RNA intergenic spacer". The stretch from base 209 to 281 matches the Rfam family "tRNA". The record is from RNAcentral. Lineage: Bacteria; Bacillati; Cyanobacteriota; Cyanophyceae; Synechococcales; Prochlorococcaceae.
CAGGGAGACAACAAAAUGUUUAAUAUUAUUUUGUCACCUUAGGUCGAUCGGUAUCUCAUGUUCUUAAUUAAUUAAGAAUUUCAUUUCCUAAGUUUUUCUAGGUCACACCCAUUAUUUUUCCUGGGCCAUUAGCUCAGGUGGUUAGAGCGCACCCCUGAUAAGGGUGAGGUCCCUGGUUCAAGUCCAGGAUGGCCCAUAUCUCUAUGUUGGGGGUAUAGCUCAGUUGGUAGAGCGCCUGCUUUGCAAGCAGGAUGUCAGCGGUUCGAGUCCGCUUACCUCCACUGAUUACCACCUCUUCCAUAAUCUGUAGAAAGGAAAUGUUUUGAGUGUGAUCAAAUUCUGAACGAAUCUAGCUUCCUAAUGAAAGUAUUAAGAUGCUGGACUCAUUGAAUAAAUUCAUUGUUUUCAGAGAACCUUGACAACUGCAUAGAUUAUUUUUUUAAAGACAAUAAGCAUCUUUAAUGAUGCAGAUUUAUUAUUUGUGCUAAUGCAUUAAUAACAAUUCUAUUAAGCUGAUGCUUCAAUUUUGAAGUUAUU